CGCGUAUGGAAUAACAAGUAGGGACACUGCAACUAAUCUACUCUGCUCGUCCAGUCCCUAGCCUAUAAAUAGAUGCCAUGCUAGCUCUUGUUGUGCUCACAAUUAAUCCGAUUACACACGAGCUUCUCUCCCUGGCCAAGACACAACCAUAGUAUGAUGAAGAACAUGGCACUAGCCGGCAAUGGUAUGAAGAAGUUAAUCCUCGCUGUUCUCUUACUGUGUCUAGUUAUAGGGCAGAUACAAGUGGAAGCUAAGAGCUGCUGCCCAUCCACCACUGCAAGAAAUGUCUACAAUACCUGCCGUUUCACGGGUACAUCCCGUCCAACGUGUGCAAAACUGUCAGGCUGCAAAAUUAUCAGCGGGAACAAAUGCAAGCCCCCUAACGACCACCUCACCCUUGACCCGGACACUGGUAAAUAAUAAAUUUAUCUCACUUGAUUUCUUCGUGAUUUGAGUCGUUAAUGUAUUUUCCAUCUGAUGAAACGUAUUGGUUUUGCAUUGAAGAGGAAGUUAAUGUGCUUAACUUCUGCAAGUUGGGGUGUGCGUCGUCUGUGUGCAACAACAUCAACGCUGGUAAGCAACUUUUGCUCAGACAGAGAAAACAAUAAUCAUUAAUUAGCGGCAGCUAGAAUCCUAUAAUCUAAUAUAUAUAUAUAUAUAUAAUUUUAUCAGCUCUGGGAAAUGAAGAGGCGAACGAUGCCGUUGAGAGUUGCGACCAAGCCUGCUCUAGCUUCUGCAGCGUGCAUGUUGGCAGCGCCACCGUGGUUGCUUAAGCAAAUGCAUCCAACUAGAUCGUCCUUGUGCUGAAUAAUUGGAUAUCGUAUCCACUUAAAGCUGCCUUGUGUAGUACGUCUUUGUGUCUCUCUUUAUAUUCCAAUAAGGUCGGUGAUCUUGAUGCCACACACUCAGAUGUGUGUUCAUCUCCAGAUACUACUCCAUGCUACCUGCCCUUUGUGUUUUGUUCAAUAACUGGGUAUCAUAUCCCAGCCAGUAUGCCGUCUGUUUUGUGUUUGUUUCCUUCUAGUUCCAAAGGGGUCAUCAUGAUGUUACCUUCUUUCAAUAUGGUGCUUUGCAUGACUACUGUUGUAUGGUACCAUCUUGUGGCCAAUAAGUACAUCUUAUCCUAUGACCUUUGCUAUGACCCUUUGCAAAUAAGUAGAAGAUUGUUAUAAGCGUCAAUACUCCGUAUAAAUUGAUCGCUGCUGUGAGUUCCCUUUCAGCUUAUCGUAGGCAUACAUUAUUGCUAGCACGGUAAAGCCAACCAACACGAAUGAUGAAGUAAACGUAGCGGUACUUCUGUAUACCAACACCCUUACUUAAAUGUACCGGUGUCAUUCCCUACUGGCACAUAUAUUCUUAUAUGCUAGCCAGCUUGUAAAAUUAACCAAUUAAAAUAAUUAUUUCAAGAUAGAAAUAACUUAUCGGUUUCUGGAAGCAUGUGUAAUGUGAAUUCAAGGACUCGACGGAAGUUGAAUCACUUCAUCUAUAUUGCUUUCAGUAUUUUGGGUAACUAAAUUUAACAUUUGCACAUACAAAUGUUAAAGUACAAAUGUUAAAUCUAGUUACCCAAGCAGAAUAUGAAGAUAGUUUAUAGUAUAUAUAUACUAUAUAAAUCUAGUUAACAUUUAGUCUAAAUGUUAAAUCUAGUUACCUAAAAUCCUGAAAGCAAAAUGUAUAAAUAUAUAUCUUUUAAGGCAGUAUAAGCUUCGAUUCCUAUUGCUGCUCUGUUAAAUCUCAUCUUUCGUUGUGGCCCAACACUCUAGUAUGCAUGUUGCACCAAGCUUCUUUGAGCCGCUCUGCCCUCUGAUUUUGCUGCGUAGGGGAAUCUUUAUCAGGUUGGGCUACUUCCAGUUGUGCGAUGUAAAGAUUCGUAUUUUCUAGAAGGUAGACAAAAAACUCGCGUUCUCUUAAGGCAACAACCGGAAGAUUCUGCAGCGCACAGGGCAUACCAUUAUUGUAGAAACGACCUUUAGUACCGAUCUCCAACCCCCUUUAAAACUGGUUUUGCAACCGGUACCGUUAUGUCGGUCCUUUAGUACCAGAUCAAAUAAGUACCGGUUGGUAACCAGUAUCAACUUGUUUUGCGGCCAAAAAAAUAAAGAAAAAAACAGUCAGAAGGCUCGCGCACACGCGCAUCACAUGAAAUAUGCGUGUGCGGGGUCCAUGGGAUUCGAACCCAUGAAAUCAAGCUGCGCGCGACCCUUCGUUACCAUCUCACCUACAUAGCGCAUAUGCUUUCCUGAAGUAACCCGUGGAGGAGGCUUUAGUACCGGGUCAUAACACCACCCGGUACUAAAAAUGACUCUUCAGUACCGGGUCAUAACACCACCCGAUACUAGUAUCGGAUGGUGUAAUGACCCGAUACUAAAAGGCCUCUAGGGACCCUCAAAUUUGAACCCGGUACUAAUGCUAAUAUUAGUAGCGGGUCAAAGUGCAGCCAGAACUAAAGCAUGGGAUGAAAGGUCAUAUUUCUAGUAGUGUAUAGUUGUUGUGAAGGACUGACUUGGCUGUCCUCUCUCUUCUCCAUCCCCUUGGUCUUACGCCGCCGCUCGCACGCGAGCCGGUGCCCAACCAGAGGAGUGAGAGCUAGGGGCAGGUUGGGAGGUGGGGAUAGUGACUGGUGGCCAGGGUGAUGGUUGAUCCUGGUGGGGUUAGGGUUUUAGGGUUUUCGAGCUUCCUAUGGUCGGCGAACCUAGAGGAGGAGCUCAACAUCAGCUGCAACCCGCGAUGGUGGUGGUUUGGCCGGCGCCCGAGGCGAGGCAGCGCGGGAGUGCUGCCGGUGGGUUGGUGUUGGCACUCAUUAUUGACAACUAUUUUGUUCAUAAAAUAACACUCAAACUUGCUGCUGCUGCUGCUGCUGCCAUCGCCACCCUAGCCAUAAUAUAAAGGCAAAAUUUGCUAAAGGACAUGCAAAAUGAUGCUAGUUUGCUGGCGGGCAUCGUUGACCUUGUAAUAUGCUACAAGACACUCUAGUUGUGUAUCAAUUUGCUGAAAGACAUUGCUAUGACUAAAAUAAUGUUUCUGGACUGAGUUGGAGAGAGAGAUGGAGUGAAAUGUCUGUUUUGCCCAUGACCCCACUGGUCAGAUCCUUCUUCUUCCACCCUCCUUUGUUCUUUCUUCAACCAUUACCCAGCUCCAGCGUGUUGCAGAUCUACGAGGGUGGCGGCCUGGGGCGAGGGGCAUCGCUCGCCCUUGGAGGAGCGCUGCGAGCGACGGCGCGGGGGCGGCAACAGCGCGUCAGAACCUGACUGUUCGUUAGCUCCUCUCGCUGCUGGGGAAGGAGGGGGAUGGGCCAUGGACGGGGUUCCCUUGAAAACCUCAGCGUCGAGCUCGGGCGGCUACGCGCAGGCAGCACUAGGCUGCUUCACGGGGAGGGGGCGCGGCCAAUCAUUGGCACCCCACUGGUCCAAUGCUGAUGAAGAUGGUGCCAGCGUCGUGUGAGGACAUCUCAUCUCCUCGAGUUCCAUGGCCAGCACAGGUGAGCUGCCGCUACCACAAAACAGAGGUUUCGUGAGAGUCAAAAAACCUUAUGAAAAUAGCUAAAACCAUCAUGAAAAUAAUCCGUGACAUGACACUCUCACGAAAAUCCUCUCACAAAUAUGGUGCCAUGAAAAUACCAUUUUCAUGAGAGUGAACUGUCAUGAUUUUAUUUCGUGAGAGUAUUUCCUAUCAAUGACCUCCACGAAAUACUUUGUGCCACCAGGUCUUCAAGAUCAUUUUCAUGAGAGCUGAACAUCAGGAAAAGUCCGCCACAAAUGUUUUUCUUGGAGCCCCUAACUCUCAUGAAAAUCAUGCGGGCCGCCACGAAAAACAGCAUGACCAAAUGACAAAUUUCAUUUUCAUGUGUUCAUACCGCCAUGAAAAUGGUCAUUUUCAUGAGAGUUGAUGAAACAAAAAAUAGUGCCAUUUUCAUGAGAGUUCAAGCAACCAGGAAAAGACACUAAUAAACAUCCAGAUCCCAUCCAGCACACAUCCAUGCACAUAUAUAACCCACAUAUUGCUCCAGCACACAUCCAUGCAUAUACAAGAUCCAAAUGUUAAUAUAGUAGACAUCCAUGCCUGAACUAGUCUGCCACACAAGUCAUUGAUGCUACAAAUCCUACAAUCGCAGCAUGUGCAUACAAGUCACAGAAUGAGACAAUGUACCCAAAACUAAAAGGUUAGCAUCAACUGUGCUUCAACCAAAGUUGUCAUCCCAACUCUCCUCUUCAUCCAUGCCAUUCUUGUCGUGGCCGUCACUGUCAGUCCCCAUGGCAUUGCCAAUGCUGUGCAUGUCUUGGUAGGAACCUACAUGUGAUGAACUAGUAACCUGCAAAAAGAGCUCAAAGGAUCUUGUUCUCAUAUUGUAGCUGUGAAAUUCUUACAAGUAGUGUUGCAAUCAGUUCACUUUGAACCAAAAGAGCUCAAAGGAUCUUGUCCUAAAAGUUCCUCAUAAAGCUUAUGGGUUUGCUGGUGGAACUGGAAGGGCUUGAUGCAGCAGAUGCCAUUCUGCAAUAGAGAAAAAUUUAGAGAGCAGUACUAGUUAAAAUUGGAUGCAGAAGAUACACAUGAAACUAGUAUUUAUACAAGUCUAUACAAUUAAAAUCUAAGGAGACUUAUCAUCGUUUUCAUGUGUUGUGAAUUAAAAUAAUGAAGGAUACACUGUUAGGUGAAAAUUCAAGAAACAAAAUUUUGCAUAGAGAUAAAGGUCCAACAUUAUUACAAGUUAAGGUAGUUUUAAAUAUCCUUGUAAUCUUCCUUUGGUUUCCUCAACGAUUCGAAGACAAUAACCUUGCUUCUAUCAAUGAUAAUUAUAAGGAGAAUCCAGUGGAAACUGUGUAUUCGUAUUAGAACUACCUAAGGUUAAUUAGGUUAGGAAAGGAAAUUGAAAAUAGAUGGUACCCACACUUACUUAAAGUUGUCGGGCAAUAGUAUGUAAUGCUUGUAAUUCCGUUGCUCCAAGAAUUUGUAUAUGUGGUCCAAUGUAGACUUUGGUUGAUCCCGUAUCUGCUGUUGGUUAAAUAAGUGUUUCUAGCCAUUUCUAGCCAUUAGAACCGGGACUAAAGGGGGCUCUUUAGUACGGGUUGAUAUUACUAACCGGGAUUAAAGAGCCCCCAUUAGAGUUGGUUUUUGGAUGCGGAACUAACAACUCCUUUAGUCCUGAGUACGAAAACAACUGACAUAUUUGUUGCUGGAUGGAAGGUCCUUUCUCUACCGUGAAUAUUGCCAGAAAGAAUUGAAAGAGACUGCUUGCUAAAAAUAUGUCAUAGAUGUAGACCAAGCUACCAAGGAGGUAGACCAAACAUGAUACACACCAUGCGUACCUUGCUGUGCAGACUAUGCAUUGACAAGAUACCCGACCACAUGUUGGCCUCGGUCACAUCAAAAGAAUCAUGUAGGCCACCAAUAAACUACUUGAAGCGGCAUUCCGUAUCGUAUAUGCAUUGCCGGUUCAUCUGCAUUACAUUACAUAAAGCACUAUUAACUAUUUGAAUAAAAUGAACCAAUUUAAAAGUAAUGUGUUGUACUCUACUAUAGAAAGCCCUAUCACUGCCGGAUCCAAAAACAUCAUUGUUAAUGGUGGUUAAGUACCAAAUAUGACGGUCAAUAUUCUCAAGAAUAAUGGAGAAUUAGCAUUUCUUAGACACAUAUUUGGUUUUGAACAAUGUAGUUCCACAUGUCUUUGGAGAUUAUUUGGGUGUGGGUGAAAUAAUACAAAAAUAAGGAGAAAACACACUCCCAUGGCGAAGAAACACAACUCCAACCAAUGAGAGAUAGCCACAGGGGCAGCACACGGAUCCAUGGGCCCACUAACCGCAUCAAACCAUCUUACCAAGGCAGGUAGCACCCACAACCGUCAUUAGGACCCACCUGGAAGUCUACCAAGAAGAAGGUUGCGAGUGGGGCCAGGAGGGGUUCGGUUGAAUCAUCUCUAGCUAGCUCCCCUCAUCCCCAGCUGGUGGGUGGUGGUGGUUGAUGGUGUCCCUACAUCAGUUAGAGGAGAUUCCCCCAAAUAUUCCUCCUGUAAACCACCUCUAUGGACCUAUACAUAGAGGGGUGUGCUCUCCAUUCCAACACACACCACAAGUUGAAUCACUCUCUCCCUCUUUAGUUUCCAAGUUUAUGGAGUUAGGCUAGAGUAGCUCUGCUCAAGGUUCCAAGUCCACUUGGAGUUAAGCAUAUGUCUCUUGUAUCGUUAUUUCCUAAAUUGACUUUAUGCUUAGUUCUUAUAUGCAUGAGUUAGUCUAAUACCCUUGCUAUAUUGAUAUGCUCGGCUUAUAUGCUCGUAUGCUAGUCAUAUACCCUUGCUGUCGUAGUAUAGGCUUAUAUGCUCUCAUGUGUGCCUGUAGACCUUGCUAUAGUAUAUACUUGUUGUGCAUACAUACCAUGUAUAGGCUAGUCGAUCUAUACCAUGGCAUUGGUUCAAUAGCCAUGUUUUUGGUGGCUCCAACCCUAGUCACAAUAGCUCGGGACAGCUGGAGUGUUGUUAAAAAUGCAAGAGUGGUGCUUGGGUUGUUUAGCAUCGUUGGAUAUGGGUUUGCCCCACGGGUUUCUAACGGUAGGCGGCAGCUAGUGACAUCCCUGUCCGUCCUUCGUAAUCCCCCCACAUUCAGGUACGCCAUAAAUGUUCGUAAAUUAGCAGUAACUACGCCGGUACACCUGUAGGGUAUUGUCUCCCUGUAGUACCUUGGUGCAUAGAACUAAGUCCUAUACACUGUGUGUGUAUGUUUACGCUGAUAUGAUCUGUGCAGUAUAUAGGAUGUAUAUAUGAACCUAGAGCUAACUCCUAGUCCGUUCUCCAUAGCUUAGUUAUCUUGAGAUGAUUCUUCUGUAUGUGUAACACUACCCAUCUUAUCAUUAUCCUUGAUCCUGUCUUGUGUAAUAUAUCUACUCAUCCUAUGAUAUACUCAUAUGCAUAGUAAACUAUUUUGACCUACCCGCCUUCCUUUGGGAAAUAUGAUACCUUGGAAUAAUCCUAGGUGAAAUCCUACAACGGUAUAUCCAUGUAAAUGCGGAUUUAUUCAUGACCAUUAAAUAUACCAACAAUCAUCACUGUGAGUUUUGGGCGUCGUUAGUGAAGGGUUGGUAGUGAUGGGCAUCCCCUUCACCAAUGGACCUGGAACCGGCGGUGAUGGCUAUUAUAAAAAAGGGGACACCACCCAGCGUACCCCACGACCCGGCCGGCCGCACCUCCCAUCAUCCCCGCCAGCCGCCCUUCCUUUUCGCCGGCCGAGCAUGGUCCCGGCCUUUGUCCCUACCACCUCGCCUCCACCGCGACCCCCCGCCGAUGCCCUCGUGCCUGGCCCCCCUCAUCUUGCCGGCCACCCUCCCGAUGCGUCCACUGGGGCCCUCGCACCACCAACCGCCCUUGCUUAGAGAGGGAGAGAGAGGAGGGAGGUGAGGCCACGCACCUCGUCCUACACCGCCGCUGUUUCUCCUCGGCCCACCGCGCCUCACCCCACACCACAGCCGCGCCUUGCCAUCUUACCGGCUGUGACGCCUCAUCUCACCGGCCACCGUUCCUCACCCCCACUUCGGUCGUCGCCGCUCCUUGCCCUACCGCUGCUCUUUGCCGCUGCGAAUGAGCGCCGAGUGGAGGAGGAGGGAUGGGGCAGGAGGAGGGCAAGAUCCGGGAGGAAGGGAGAGAUCUCGGGAGGUGGAGAUGGAAGGAUAUGGCGGAAGGGAGAGAUCCAGAGGGAGAGAGCAGGGGAGAGAGGGGGGCGUGUGGGGAGAGAGCGCGUGUGGGGUGGGGCCGGGCUGGUGGGAUGGAAGGGAGAGGGGCUAGACGGGCGCAGUGCAUUCAACUGGAUGAAGUAAAUAUUUUGGAUUCGAGACCCCAGCUUUAUUAUCACCGCUGGUCCGUAGUACCAUCCGGUGCCUGCUCGUAAUUUAAUUUGAAUCUGCGGUGAUGUUUUAUUAUCACCAUCGGAUCAUAUAAAAAUCCGGCGGUUAAAAAUCCGCUGGUUUCGAUGAAAACCGACGGUGAUAGGAUGACUGUGAUAGUCUCUUCUCUAGUAGUGGUAUAUUAGUACCGGCUGCCGGAUGGUGUUGCCGACCAGUACUUCUCCGGGGGCGAUUCAGUACUGCUGUUAGCAAAGCUUGUUCUCUAUGAAUUUGGGGAUGGAAAGCUAGUUCUCUAGUUGUGAUUUGUUACAUAUAUAUCUAUGAUAGUCUAGAAAUUGCAUGUCCUUCGUUGACAUAGUUGAAGCUGCUUCAAGAAUUUACUUCGUGCAGUCGUGCAGCAUAUUGGAUUAUCACCUAGACAGGAUACAUAGGUGAAGCAUUGGAUGUGAUUGUGGCCGAUAAUUAUGCAGGACGCUGUUGCAAUCAACCACCAAGAAGUCUGGAGUGAUGGGGUUGCCUCAUCAAUAAUUUUUAUAUAUGGCUGCAGUAUUAUUAAGCCCACGUCAAUAAUUUUUUGUCCGCACCAUAUAUCGAUGGGGUUGCCUCAUCAAUAAUUCGCGCAACCAGACAAGCUGCAGACUCAAUAUGGUACGAAGCUAGUUGCUCAGCCCACAUGCUCUGAUAUAACAUUGACAUCUGCUGAUCUACAGUAUAUAUGACCAGAAAUAUUGUGCCCACCUCAAUAACUUUCUGAAGUAUCGUGGGGAAGAACCUACGCGUACUAUGCCUCGGAACUAACUGACAUAUCGGCCCAGGCGGUCUAGGCCGAUUGGACUGGCUCUUCCUUGUGGCUUCUCACAUCCCCUUCGUCCCCAAGUAAUUUCAGGUGUUCUGUAGUUUUCUUUUCACUUGCAUCUGAGCCUCCUAUAUCAAUAGCUUCGGGAUAAGAAUGCCUCUUGAUAACCUUCCAAAUCCUCGCUUGAUUCACAUUGAUUCCGAAAUCAUCUUGCCAUAUCUUCAGAGACUUAGGUCCUAAGGCAUCAUGGAGGAUUGCUCGCCAAGAAUGAGCACCAUUGGGCUCCUGAGGACCCUAGGCCGAUCAGCCCGGGCUCUAUAGGUCGAUUGGCCCAGGCCCUCUCUGGGCCUGUUGGCCUUCAUCUUUCUUUGAGUCGACGCUUAUUCAGGGCUUUGUCCAAUUAUAGUCCAUUAUAGUCUAAUUUCCUAAAAAACAGAAUGUCCUCCAAAAUACAAUGCAUAUGUGAAAACAACCCAAUUAUUAGGUAUGAUCAAUAGUUUAGGUAUUAAAUUAAUAUUAUUAUUUAAGAUAAACAGGGGUAAAGGGUGUCAUUAAUAACAAGCGCCAACAAGCGUCCUAGCUGUUCAAUAAAUUUUUUCUAGUACCGAUUGGUAACACUAACCGGUGCUAAUAUGUACCCUUUAUUACCGGUUAUUUUACCAGGUACUAAAGGAGACAAGAGCAUCCUAACAUAAGGUUAAUAUCAUCCAUUUCAUGAGUAAAAUACUAUGAUUCAAAAAUAAUUCAAAUCCCUUAAGACAAUACCUAUCAAAUGAGUAAAUUGUAAAUAGAGUAAUCUUGAUCAAACAAUGUCCUAAUGAAACGGAACACUUCUGGUUCGUGUAGAGCACAAUAUAGAAAACAGUAGGGUAGCUGUAUGAUUGACACGUGGUCCAUUAAUUAUUGAGCCAACACUAUGGACAUGUCUUCAUGAGUAGUGUACUAGUCAUAAUACAUGGUAUGCAGUAGGUGGAGGUAUUGACUUAGCCAUGCUAUGAGCACUUAGUUACAACAAACACUUUGCCAUUAUCGAGCAUCCCAAAUCACUACAAAAUCCAUAGUUUACCAUAUACUACAAAAUCUGAGUUAAAAUAAGAGCAUACACGGAAGAGUCCGAAUGCACGGCACAUUGAAUUACUAGACAAAAUUUAUGGGACAAGGUUUUGGGUAACCGCAUGAAAAAUAUUGGAUUUUACUGAACACUUAGUUACAAUUACCAUGCCCGUGAGCACUUAGUCACCACAAACAUUUAACCACUUUAGAUCAUCCUGAAUCCCUAUAAAUUCUAUACCUUACACCGUACCAUGAAAACGACAAGAACAGAGACAGAUGCGGUGAAAAUCUCCAGAGCAAGCCUGAAAUUAAAAUAAGAGGAGGCAGUCACUAUCGACAGGACACGGAGAUUGCUAGCCAUGACAGAGGAAGACAUGAUAUGAUAUUCACCUCUGAAAUGCAGCGUAGACUAAAUGAAGCACAAUUGCAAGUGAGUGUGGCAGAUAAUGGACCAUCGAGACCAUCGAAUGGUAUGAAGCAUGAUUAUCACCUAGACAUGAUAUCCUAGACAGGACGGUGAAUUGUAAAAAGAGUAAUCUUGAUCAAAGAAUGUCCUAAUGAAACGGAACAUUUUUGGUACGUGUAGAGCAAAAUAUAGAAAACAGUAGAGUAGUUGUACGAUUGAAACUGCAUCCAUCGACGUGGUGCAUGAAUUGUUGAGCCAACACUGUGGACAUGUCUUCAUGAACACCAUCUAGUGAGGACAGCAUGCAGAAAAAUAUAAAAACAUGUCAUAGGGAGGCAGACCAAUCUUGCGAGGUAGACGAAACGUGAUACACGAUCUGCCUACCUUGUCGUGUGGAUACCCCAAGUGAAGAUGUCAUAGAGGUGCAGACCAAGCUAGCAAGGAGGUAGAUGAAACGUGAUACACGGCCUGCCUACCUUGCCGUGGAUAUUAGUCCUGAUAUCAUUCUAUUGUUCAAGGAAUAACACUCAAUGCUGCUGCUGCUGCUGACCUGGCUCCAUAAAGUUAUAUUCCUCUAGCCGCUUGCACUAACUUUAUCUGAAGUAUUAUUCUCUCUGCACUGUAUAUAUGGUUACGGAGUUUGCUGGAGUAUCCGGGGGGAAGAACCUACAUAAUAUGUCUUGGAACUAACUGACAUUGAUUCACAGACAAGGUGCUGUUGUUGACAUGGUACAGUAAAUAAUAUAGUUUACCAUAUACCGUAUACCAUUAUAUGUUAGCUAAAAUAAGAGCAUAACAUGUCGCAGGAGUCCAAAAGCACCGGUUGAGGACCAGGUACAUUAAAUUACUAGAAAACAAAAGGGGACAAGGUUUAGGUAGCCACAUGAAAAACAUUUGAAUUUACUGUACCAUGAACACUUAGUUACCAUGCCGGGAGCACCUAGUUAACACUAACAUUUAGCCACUUUAGAUCAUCCCGAAACACCAAUGACCCUCAAUAGCGACAAAUUUUGGUUUAAAUGCCGUCACCAAUGAUCCUCAAUAGUGACGUGUUUAGGUUUAAAUCCCAUCACUAAUAACCCUUGGUAGUGACGUGUUUUGGUUUAAAUCUCAUCACCACUGAUCCUCACUAGUGACGUGUUUUUAGCAACACACGUUAUGAAUGACUUGUCAUUGGUGACAUGUUAAACGCGUUAUCUCAAUGGCAAAUCAAUGGUGACGUGUUUAAAAAAACAUGUCACUGUGAGAGUUAUUGGUGAAGGGUAAUUAAAAUGCAUCACUAAUUUUGUAGCAUUAGUUAUGAUAUAAUUUUGUAACGCAAAAAUCUACCAUAGUAAUGAGGUUUAGAGCCAUCACUAAUGUGGGUUUCUUAUCGUAGUGAUGCAAGCUCUACAAGGUGCUGUUGUUGCCAUUUUAAAGCAUCCCAAAUGACUACAAGAGUCCGGUUGAGGACUAAACAAAUUGAAUUACUAGAACCAAAUGUAUGUCCAGAACAAAGAAAGGGGUCAAGGUUUGGGUAACCGCAUUAAAAACAUUGAAUUUUACUGUACCAUGAACACUUAGUUACCAUUACCAUGCCUUGAGCACCUAGUUACCACAAACAUUAAUUUAGCCACUUUAGAGGUUCCACAAUCACUAUAAAUAAUAUACCAACACCGUACCAUGAAAACAUCAAGAAGAGAGACGGGUACAUGGACCACCAUCAAGUGAGUAGUGACAGCACGCACAAGAAUACCCGGAACCUUUUAGCUUGUCUGUAGUGAUCUGUUUUCUUCGCCACAAAUAAUGAAAGAGGCUGACCAAGCUAGCAACGAGGUAGAGCAAACGUGAUACACGUAGGUUUCAUUCAAGACAUCCAUGUAAGAUUCAUUCAAAACAUUCAUGGAAAUUUCUUGUAAGUUUUCAUGUAAAUUUCAUUCAAGACAUUUGUUAGAGGUGUUGUAUAUACACUUAACGUACAUAUAUCUAUGAUUUCAUGGUUGUUAGUGAUGGCAGAUGAGGAGCAUGCAAGGUGUUUAAUGGAGCAGAUUAUUGCUAGUGGUAGUGGCUCCAACCUGCCCGUAACGUACACCGACGAAGAGGGCAGCCAGGCGGACAUGUUCCUCAACAUGUCCGGUGAUGGCAAUGAAGAGCCCGAGCAAAACCUUGCCGUGACGGAAGGUUCCAUCGAGGUAUAUAUCAUUUCCAUUAUUUUACCCCAUCUAUAAUUUCAUAUUCAUUAUUACUAUGUGCUAAUUAAUGAAUCUUGAACCGUUAGUCCUCUAGAUCAACGAACCGAAAUAAGCCCCGAGGUCUUACAAAGAUAAUGCAGGGAAGGCUUCACAUCAUGGAAGUCACAGAAGAGGGCACAUCGGUUGCUCCCGAACAUGUGGCAAGAAAGUACGUGAGUCAAACCGGGGCAAUCGUAAGGGACAACAUGCCCAUCAGCAUCAGGGAAUGAAAGAGCAAUAGAAAUGAUCUAUACGCACCCCCGGAUACACAAAAGGAUAUGUUGUGGGCAAAUAUCAAGAAACACUUCACAUUUCCCAAAGGAUAUGUUGAAAAAUAUGUGAAAGCGUGGAUGUUGAAGAAGAUGGCCACCCAAUUCCAGACAUUCAAGAAGAUGUUGGAUGCCAACUUCAUCAAGAAGGGUCGAACUCCGGGUUUCAAUGAGUGGCCAAAGUUAAGGGACCACUGGGAGUCGUUUGUCGAAUACAAGACGAGCGAAGGUGGUGCGAGUAAGGUUCACAUCAAUGUUGCCAAUGCUAGCAAGGAGUACCAUCAUCAUCUAGGGCGACGUGGUUACAGCUCUGCAAUUCCCAGAUGGCGCAAGAUGGAACAAGACCUGAUCGAUCGGGGUAUCGUACCAGCAACUCUUGACUGGAUCGAUUGAAAAAUUGGUAUUAUGCUCAUGAAGGCAAUCUGAGCCAAGAGGAUCCGACAUUGGUCUUCAAUAAAACAAUACGUCAGAAGGUCGGAAGGCUUAUUAGGAACAUUGAAGAUGCUAAAGCUGGGAGGUUCAAGGUGGAUAGAGAGAAUGAUGAACUCACAUUGGCCCUCGGGACUGUCAUCUCUAGCACUUCCAGCUCCAGGACUAUCGUCACCACCGGGACCGUCGCUUCCUGCUCGAUCACAGUCUCCAUCUCCAGCACAUCCUGGUGGUGCGAGCGACGACGACAACAACACCCCUCCCUGCCCACCAUUGCCGGGACUAAGACCCGCAUUGAGUAAGGAACCUGCAACACCACUGAAGAAGUCGCGACCACCACCUUCAAGGCAAGUCAGCAAAAGAAGAAAGCAGAGAAGCCUAAACCCACUGAGAAGCCAGCGACUGAUAUGACCGAUGCGGAAAGAUGGAAGGCACUCAAAGAAGAAUGCAGGGAGUGGUUCAGCGAAGGCGAAGGUGAGAAAGUCGUAUGAAUCGAAUUCAAGGAUAUAUAUGAAGUGAACCAUCAGGAUGCCCUUGAUGUCUCUCUCAUCAGCGCCUAGGUUCUGUAAGUGUAUGUUUAUCUAUAAGUAAAUUUUGGCUCAUAUCAUUAUUUUUUUUGCGUGCGUCACCCUACUAACUUCGUCUUCCAUUUUAUGUAGGAUGCUAAUUCAGACGUGCCGCAUAGAAGCGUACUUCCAUGUUGGAUUCAUGGAUCCAUCCCUAGUUAACCAAAAGCCGAUACGGAAGUAGCUAGAGAAAACGUUGGAGGUGGUGUACAACCUCCUGGACAAACUAAACUACAGAAUAGGGGCAAUAUGUGAGGGUCUUGUAGGAUUCCUAGUGGACGAGGUGAUAAAUCCAUAAGGAGAAUAUCAUUCCAACGGACGAGCAUUAGACACACUGAGCAACACCUAGAUGGGAGGAUCCUAGGAAUGACCUCGACAGAUUUUGGUAUAAAUAGUAAUUGUGUAAAUACUAGUUUGAUUUGUAUAGGAAUAUACUAAGAAUUGUAUAUAUAGUAAUUGUACAAAUACUAGUUUGAUUUGUAUGAAUACUAGAUUGAUUUUAUUAUAAAAAAGUUUUAAGUCGUACGUGCAUGCGCCUACAAAGGCGCGGAUGCCUUUUAAUCCCAGUCGGAAAAACAAACUGGUACUAAAGGGGCUCGUGCCGCACCUGGCAUGACCACCCCUUUAGUCCCGGUUGAACGACCCAGGACUAAAGAUCUCCGCGUCUCAAAAAUUUUAUCUCGGAUGCUUUUUAGAGAGAUUUGAGGCCUAUCAACCAAGACUAAUAUCGAGUUUUCUACCAGUGAAACUAACUAACGUUCACAUGGUUUUGACAUUCACCUGCCAUUUGGUGUAGACAAGGGCACCCUAACAUAUGGUUAAUAUUAUUCUUGAAAGAAAAUCCUUUGAUUCAAAAUACUUCAAACCUAAUAAUACAAUACUUCUCACAUCUGAAAAAUAUGAGACGGCCCGACAGUAUUCUAAUCGACGCAAUAAUAUUUUGAGGGCAGCACUACUACAGCGACCCUCAUUCGUGCCGGUGCUGGGACUCCUAUCACGACCCUGAUACAAAUGAGGGUACAUUAUUGGUGCCAGUGCUAGAACAGCCACGAAUAACUUGCUAAACGUGCUGUUACACUCACUACAGGGACCAAGAAGGUAGAUAAAUUACACGACAUAGCCUUGGUUGCCGUGGAAGCGCCAAGAAGGGAGACAAAUUACAGGGACCACACCAUCAAGUAGAUAGUGACAAUAUGCAAAAGAAUACCCGCGCCUGUUAGCAUGUGAACUGACCACACCACGAAACGUGAUACACGGCAAGCGUACCAAGGCCUUGCUGUGCAGACUAUGCAUGGACAACACAUGGUACCUGACCGCUUUUGGCCUCAGACACAUCGAAAAACUGCAUCGUUCCACGUUGUACAUCCAUUGCUAGUUUAUCUAUAUUACAUAAUAUAUUAUUAGCUAUUUGAAUAGAAUGAACCAAUUAAAAAAUUGCGUUGUAUUUUUAGUACCGGCUGCAGGAUGGUGUUACCAACCAGUACUAAUUGGCCUGUAGGAGUGAUGGUUAUUAGACUUGGUACUGUUGUUAGCAUCAUUAACCUAAUUGUGCGCCGUAUGAAUUUGGGGAUGCAAAGCUAGCUCUCUAUGAAUGUGAGGGAUGGAAAGCUAGUUCUCUAGUAGUAAUUAUAUAUAUGACAGUCAAGAAAUCGAACACUAUGCUGCUACGAGUCACCAUCAUUUCCUUCAUUGACAAUCUGACAUAGGUGAAGCUGCUUCAAUAAUUUCCUUCGCGCAGUCGUGGAGCUUAUUGGAUUAUCACCAGGACGGGACACGGAAAUGGCCAGCAAUGAAGCUGAUUGCCGUCUGAGGAAGACUACAUACUUACCUAUGAAAUGAAGCGAUUGCAUAGACUAAUGAAGCAUUGCAUAUUUGCAUGUGAGUGUGGCAGAUAAUUCUGCAGGACAUGAUUGCAAUCCACGCACCAUCGAGAAGACUGGGGCGAUGGGGUUGCCUCAUCAAUAAUCACGUGGAUGCAUGCAUGCAUGUUCCCGCAACCGGACAAGGGUCUGAUAUAUGGCUAUAGUAUUACUGAGCCCACAUCAAUAAUUUCCACUGGUGUAUCGUGUGGGAAGAAUCAACAUACUACACCUCGAGUUCUUGGAACUAACUGACGUUCACAUGCAACCUCCACAAGGUGCUGUAUGCUUUUGACAUUCACCUGCCAGUUCGUGUAGAGAAGGACACCCUAACGUAUAGUUAAUAUUAUCCAUUUCAUGAGUAAAAUACUGUGAUUCAAAAAUACUUCAAAUCCCUUGAGACAAUACUUCUCACUUGACUAACCACUAACCAACCCCGAAACCCUAACUCAACUCCGAACCCUAACCCCUAACGGCAUAACCACUCCGUUUUGCCGGCGAGAUGGAGGAACUGGCUGGAAGGUAGAGAGGGCAGCGGUCCAGGGUUGAAAACGACGGGCGAGCGCAGUAACAUGUGGAGGAGGAAGUGCCACGUAUUCGUUCACCGCUAUUGGGCAGCGACACACGACACGCCCAAUAAGAUCUUCGCACGGUAGAAGGACGUCAUGUAUUCAAUAAUGUUAUUGGUCCCCCAUGUGCAGAAGGGCGCGCGCGUAUGGAAUAACAAGUAGGGACACUGCAACUAAUCUACUCUGCUCGUCCAGUCCCUAGCCUAUAAAUAGAUGCCAUGCUAGCUCUUGUUGUGCUCACAAUUAAUCCGAUUACACACGAGCUUCUCUCCCUGGCCAAGACACAACCAUAGUAUGAUGAAGAACAUGGCACUAGCCGGCAAUGGUAUGAAGAAGUUAAUCCUCGCUGUUCUCUUACUGUGUCUAGUUAUAGGGCAGAUACAAGUGGAAGCUAAGAGCUGCUGCCCAUCCACCACUGCAAGAAAUGUCUACAAUACCUGCCGUUUCACGGGUACAUCCCGUCCAACGUGUGCAAAACUGUCAGGCUGCAAAAUUAUCAGCGGGAACAAAUGCAAGCCCCCUAACGACCACCUCACCCUUGACCCGGACACUGGUAAAUAAUAAAUUUAUCUCACUUGAUUUCUUCGUGAUUUGAGUCGUUAAUGUAUUUUCCAUCUGAUGAAACGUAUUGGUUUUGCAUUGAAGAGGAAGUUAAUGUGCUUAACUUCUGCAAGUUGGGGUGUGCGUCGUCUGUGUGCAACAACAUCAACGCUGGUAAGCAACUUUUGCUCAGACAGAGAAAACAAUAAUCAUUAAUUAGCGGCAGCUAGAAUCCUAUAAUCUAAUAUAUAUAUAUAUAUAUAAUUUUAUCAGCUCUGGGAAAUGAAGAGGCGAACGAUGCCGUUGAGAGUUGCGACCAAGCCUGCUCUAGCUUCUGCAGCGUGCAUGUUGGCAGCGCCACCGUGGUUGCUUAAGCAAAUGCAUCCAACUAGAUCGUCCUUGUGCUGAAUAAUUGGAUAUCGUAUCCACUUAAAGCUGCCUUGUGUAGUACGUCUUUGUGUCUCUCUUUAUAUUCCAAUAAGGUCGGUGAUCUUGAUGCCACACACUCAGAUGUGUGUUCAUCUCCAGAUACUACUCCAUGCUACCUGCCCUUUGUGUUUUGUUCAAUAACUGGGUAUCAUAUCCCAGCCAGUAUGCCGUCUGUUUUGUGUUUGUUUCCUUCUAGUUCCAAAGGGGUCAUCAUGAUGUUACCUUCUUUCAAUAUGGUGCUUUGCAUGACUACUGUUGUAUGGUACCAUCUUGUGGCCAAUAAGUACAUCUUAUCCUAUGACCUUUGCUAUGACCCUUUGCAAAUAAGUAGAAGAUUGUUAUAAGCGUCAAUACUCCGUAUAAAUUGAUCGCUGCUGUGAGUUCCCUUUCAGCUUAUCGUAGGCAUACAUUAUUGCUAGCACGGUAAAGCCAACCAACACGAAUGAUGAAGUAAACGUAGCGGUACUUCUGUAUACCAACACCCUUACUUAAAU
RNAcentral lists this long non-coding RNA (17444 nucleotides) under Setaria viridis. RNAcentral's name for it is "long non-coding RNA (SVIR_LNC007217)". Lineage: Eukaryota; Viridiplantae; Streptophyta; Magnoliopsida; Poales; Poaceae. The record is from RNAcentral.